This 72-nucleotide transfer RNA is filed under the name Marmota marmota marmota (Alpine marmot). It matches the Rfam family "tRNA". Rfam says of the family: Transfer RNA (tRNA) molecules are approximately 80 nucleotides in length. RNAcentral also lists the same sequence under 2 other names. The record is from Rfam by way of RNAcentral. Lineage: Eukaryota; Metazoa; Chordata; Mammalia; Rodentia; Sciuridae.
UGGGGUGUAGCUCAGUGGGAGAGCACUGGCCUAGCAUGUGUGAGGCCCUGAGUUUGAGCCUCAACACUACAA